GACGACGCUGGCGGCGUGCUUAACACAUGCAAGUCGAACGGUGACGAAUGGAGCUUGCUCUGUUCUGAUCAGUGGCGAACGGGUGAGUAACACGUGAGUAACCUGCCCCUGACUCUGGAAUAACUUCGGGAAACCGAAGCUAAUACCGGAUAUGACACAGAGCCGCAUGGUUUCUGUGUGGAAAGUUUUUCGGUUGGGGAUGGACUCGCGGCCUAUCAGCUUGUUGGUGAGGUAAUGGCUCACCAAGGCGACGACGGGUAGCCGGCCUGAGAGGGCGACCGGCCACACUGGGACUGAGACACGGCCCAGACUCCUACGGGAGGCAGCAGUGGGGAAUAUUGCACAAUGGGCGAAAGCCUGAUGCAGCAACGCCGCGUGAGGGAAGACGGUUUUCGGAUUGUAAACCUCUGUCCUUGGUGAAGAACAAAUGACGGUAGCCGAGGAGGAAGCCACGGCUAACUACGUG
This 466-nucleotide ribosomal RNA is filed under the name uncultured bacterium. Its description in RNAcentral is "bacterial SSU rRNA". It matches the Rfam family "Bacterial small subunit ribosomal RNA", at positions 33 to 507 of the family's 1533-position model. The record is from RNAcentral.